This 252-nucleotide ribosomal RNA is filed under the name uncultured soil bacterium. Its description in RNAcentral is "partial 16S ribosomal RNA". It matches the Rfam family "Bacterial small subunit ribosomal RNA", at positions 26 to 287 of the family's 1533-position model. The record is from RNAcentral.
AGGACGAACGCUGGCGGCGCGCUUAACACAUGCAAGUCAAGGGGGCCCAGCAAUGGGCAACCGGCGAACGGGUGCGUAACACGUGAGCAACCUACCGAAAUGUGGGGGAUAGCCGGCCUAACGGCCGAGUAAUACCGCAUACGCUCUCGAUGAGGCAUUUCAUUGAGAGGAAACCUACGGGACAUUUCGAGGGGCUCGCGGCCUAUCAGCUAGUUGGAGAGGUAACGGCUCACCAAGGCAACGACGGGUAGC